RNAcentral lists this long non-coding RNA (3779 nucleotides) under Nicotiana tabacum (common tobacco). Its description in RNAcentral is "long non-coding RNA (NTAB_LNC014360)". The record is from RNAcentral. Lineage: Eukaryota; Viridiplantae; Streptophyta; Magnoliopsida; Solanales; Solanaceae.
UAUACUCAGCAGUGCCGCAAUAACAGACCCCCCGAACGAUCGUCUUAUUUACACCCCUCCUCCCAUCGUUUUGAGCUUCUUCUUCAGAGAAGAAAAGCCAAAUUCCAUGGCGUCUUCCUAACCCAAAAAACGACCAGCACCCUAGAACACAAGCCAGUAGGCGUUACACCCAUCAAGACCCUUCAUCUUCCUCAAGUUAACAAAAAUCUAGAGACCUAGCUUCAGCUUCAGCUCCCUUCACCCAUCGUUGUUUCUGCUUUUCUCGUCCAUAACAUCUCAUCGGAAAAUGCCGCAAACAACUUCAAAUACCAGUCAAAAGCACAACAUGCUGCUGCUUGUCUUCUUCCUUCAAAACUGACCUCCAAUCUCCGUUGCAACAAGCUGUAGAACCAGCUCUAAGAACAUGAAAACAGGAGUUCAAACUGCAGCUCGGUGCCAUGAAAAUAGCGGCGUGUGUGCGAAUUUUCUGAUUCUCGCUGGACUUUCAGAUCCGGCUAUUUUUUUAAAACUUUCCAGCGAGUUCCGAGUUUGUCCAGAUGAGGUUUUGUCCAAGGUUCAGUUACUUGAGCUCGAUCGGUUUCGAGGUCGCCAACGCGGUUCAUUGGCUUGAUUCAAAUGUUGUUGUGUUUUGCGCAAAAAGUCCGUUUGGAGCACUUUGUUAAUAAAGUCAGGAAGUUUUCACAUUAUUAAAGGUCCAUUAUUUCUACCUUUCUUUACUAUUUUUAGUUGAAUAUUGUUUGCUAUUUGUCUCUGUUAAACCAUUUGAUUGCUUUAUGUGGUUAAAGAUUUUGAAAGAAUAUUAUAUUGUUUGUUCCCUAUUUUGUUCAUGAGAUUUAUAUGGUCAGUGAGUUUAGUCGAUUAAGAUAAAAUAUUAAAAUUGAAUUAAGUGUAAAUUUUGUGAAAUGGACAUCAUGAAGAAUUAGGCUUGGGCUAGUAUUAUGUUUAAUUCUUUUACAUCCUUUCUUUCUCUUUCUUUCUUGUUGUUAAUUAUUUGAGUUUAUAAUUGUCUCGAAUGCAUAGUUGUUUGUUUGUUUAUGUUGGUCAUAUGAUAUGAAGGGAUAUAAGGGGUUUCGAGUAAUUGGAUUAUUAUUGGGUCUAAAUAAUAGUGAUUGAGAGAUAUGGGCCGCGUUAUAUCCAAAGUCCGUUAAAUAAUAAAAGGCAUGGAAAUAACAAUUGUGUGAAUGAGUGAGGCGAGUCGCGAAUUAAUUCAAAGACUCGUCGCAAAAGAGAAAGGAAAGAGUAAAAAAUAGAUAAAACAAAUGUCUCAAUUGCAAGAGACAAAUAAUUAACAAUAUCUCUAGUAUACUCUAUGCGCGUAUUAACCAAUAAACCAUCAUGAUUGUGGGUACUGUUCCCACAGCAUGGUUACGAUAUAUAAAUCUCAAUUUGGGGGUGCAUUUCAUGUAACUCUAUUAUAACAACUUCGAAUAAUGUAAUCCUUGGAAAUUAGAAAUCGAGGCGUGCCAUUUAGCGAAUUUUCAUGGCCCUCGCGAAGUUGCAAGUGCGUAGUUGCUUUAGGCGCGCUAUUUAAAUUAAUUUCCUUAAACUCGGGUGUGCAUUUCAUGUGACCCAACUCCAAUUCUCAAUAACGUUAAAUAAAAUAUGUCGUGGAUCGCGGGUGCAUUUCAUGUGGCGUGGUUCAAGACAUGUUUUAAAUAACGUUGAAUCUUCCUAAAAAAUAAUUAAAAGCGGUUUAAUAAGUUAAAAUGUACCAUAGGCUAAAACAUGUAUUAAAAUCAAAUAAUAAGCCAAUUUUAAUAGUUUAAGCGACUGUGCUAGAACCACGGAACUCGGAAAUGCCUAACACUUUCUCCCGGGUUAACAAAAUUUCUUACCCGGAUUUCUGGUGUGCGGACUAUUAAACAGAGUCAAUCUUUUCCUCGAUUCGGGAUUUGAACCGGUGACUUGGGAUACCCUAAAAUUAUCUCUAGUGGCGACUCUGAAUUUAAUAAAUAAAUAAUCUCGUUUCGAUUGUCACUUAAAUUGGAAAAAUUCUCUAUAUGCCCCUUUCGGGGUGUAGGAAAAAGGAGGUGUGACACAUGGGGACGGAUUGGCCUUCCUCGGUACUGAGUGACUGAUGAUCAGUGAUGUAUAUAUUUCGGGAUGGAUCUUCCUGGGCCGUAUGGGCCAUAUACAGUAUCGAGUGGUUAAGUAUUGAUGAGAGGAAAGUGUGAGACAAUGAGAUUGAGUACUCUAAGAGUGGGACUACAUGAUUCAUCUCUGGGAUACACGACAUUAGCAUGCACACAUGACAUACAUGCAUAGAGAUGCAUUUUUCCUCGUGUUGUACGGUAUCAUGUCGUUCUUGAAUUUUUUACACACACUGAUAUGUGCGCAUAGCGAGGUAUUUAACACAUGUUAUCUGGAAAGAAAAAUGAAACAUCUUAUUUAUUGUGAAAAAGGAUUUUUGGAAAAAUUUAGAGUUUUCAAACUAUCUCUUAUUUUAUGACGAUUUCGAUAAAGGAUUUGAGUUUUCACUGAUAUUCUUGAAAAGCGGAACUAUUUUUCGGAAAAACUAUGAAAAAGUUGAGCAUCUUAUCUCUGAGUUACUUCCUUAUUUAUAUGUUUUACGUUGUUAUGAAUUAUUGUUGGCUAUUGGUGUUGGACCCGAUCAUGUCCAGCUCGUCACUACUUUCAACCUAAGGUUAGGUUUAUUACUUAUUGAGUAUUUGAGGUCGGUUGUACUCAUACUACACUUCUGCACCUUGCGUGCAGAUGUUAACUGAUGAUGAUGCUGCGAUCGACGGGAGCUAGGAUUGAAGAUGUAAUUGUGUUUCUGUUGUAGCUGUCUCUUGUUCAUGGUAGCCUUAGAUUCAUAGAACUCUGUUUAUGUACUUUUCAAACAGAAGGUGUAUUUACUUCCUAUCAACUUUGUAAACUCUAUUCUUAAAAGCUCAUGAUUUGUACUACCAGUCCUUGGAAAUGUAUAAAAUUCAGUUAACUUCUCUAUUUAAUUGUUUGACUUACUUCAUUGGAAUUGGAUAGUUAUUAGUUGGCUUAACAAGCGGGUUGGGUUAGGUGCCAUCACUACUAGUGGAUUUUGGGUCGUGACAGUAAAUUUCUCUACUCUUAUUGAAUCGGGUCGUUCACCUCAGCACUGAAAAAAUUACUCUUAUAGGAUCGGGUCGUUCUCCUCGGUAGUAUGGUGACACUAUUCUUAUGGGAUCGGGUCGUUCACCUCGGUAGAAUGGUUACACUAUUCUUAUGGGAUCAAGUCGCUCUCCUAGGCAGUACUGAGCACCACUAUUCCUAUGGGAUCAAGCCGAUCGCCUCGGCAACUUUGUGCUUAAUAAUUGAGACUGGAUUUGGCUUGCUAACAGUUGAGUUAGCGCCUUCAAGGUCUUUAUGACAUGUUUAGUGAUUUGAUAUAAACUAAUGUGUGGAAUUACUGUAGUUACUUUUAUUUGCUUUAUUGCUACUUGUUGUACACUCACCAUAUCUACUUUAUGUAUUUCUAUUAUUAUUUAACCUCUAAUAAGUGUCAAGUCGACCCCACGUCUCUACUUCUUCGAGGUUAGACUAUGUACUUACUGGUUACGCGUUAUUUUCUGCACUCGCGUUAUACUUCUGCACUGAAUGUGCAGGUACUGAGACAGGUACUACCAGUGGUCAUGCGGGUGUAGCUGAUCUCCUACGGAGACUUAUUGGUGAGCUGUUUGUCUUGCUACAAUAUGCAACACCGAAUUCUUCCUCUGUCUUGUUUAUUAUUUCUGUCUAUUGCCUUUUAGACAACAGUUGUAUUAGUUUUGUAUAUUCUCUAGAUUGCUCAUGCACUUGUG